RNAcentral lists this ribosomal RNA (501 nucleotides) under uncultured Gemmatimonadota bacterium. RNAcentral's name for it is "bacterial SSU rRNA". It matches the Rfam family "Bacterial small subunit ribosomal RNA", at positions 9 to 521 of the family's 1533-position model. The record is from RNAcentral. Lineage: Bacteria; Pseudomonadati; Gemmatimonadota.
GAGUUUGAUCGUGGCUCAGGACGAACGCUGGCGGCGUGCUUAACACAUGCAAGUCACGGGGGCUCGCAAGAGCAACCGGCGAACGGGUGCGUAACACGUGAGCGACCUGCCUCUUCGCGGGGGAUAGCCGGCCCAACGGCCGGGUAAUACCGCAUACGCAGGCGGUGUUUCAUGACACUGCCCUGGAAACCUCCGGGGCGGAGAGAGGGGCUCGCGGCCUAUCAGCUCGUUGGCGGGGUAACGGCCCACCAAGGCGACGACGGGUAGCUGGUCUGAGAGGAUGGCCAGCCACAUUGGGACUGAGAGACGGCCCAGACUCCUACGGGAGGCAGCAGUGGGGAAUCUUGCGCAAUGGCCGAAAGGCUGACGCAGCGACGCCGCGUGUGGGAGGACGCCCCUCGGGGUGUAAACCACUGUUGCCCGGGACGAAUAGCCUUUUUCGAGAGGCCUGACGGUACCGGGUGAGGAAGCACCGGCUAACUCCGUGCCAGCAGCCGCCGU